This 118-nucleotide ribosomal RNA is filed under the name Castor canadensis (American beaver). The record is from RNAcentral. Lineage: Eukaryota; Metazoa; Chordata; Mammalia; Rodentia; Castoridae.
CUCUGUGGCCAUAGCACCCUAAAUGUACCCAAUUUUGUCUGAUCUCAGAAGCUAAGCAGGGUUGGGCCUGGUUAGUACUUGGAUAGGAGGAAGAUCUUCAGAGGAGACUGCUCAGAGA